This 50-nucleotide ribosomal RNA is filed under the name uncultured eukaryote. RNAcentral describes it as "partial small subunit ribosomal RNA". The record is from RNAcentral.
GGGGUGAAGUCGUAACAAGGUAGCCGUAGGUGAAACUGCAGAAGGGAUCA